UGGCUUCACUUCCCGGGAUGUAUGAGAGGACCGUGACAAUGAACUCACUCGGUAAGACAUUUUCUUUGACUGGUUGGAAGAUUGGAUGGGCAAUAGCUCCAGUGCAUCUGACAUGGGGUCUGAGGCAGGCUCACUCAUAUCUCACAUUUGCCACCUCAACACCAAUGCAAUAUGCUGCUUCAGUAGCUUUGAGGACUCCAGAUAGUUACUAUGAUGAAUUAAAGAGGGACUACAUGGCGAAGAAGGCAAUAUUGGUGGAGGGACUAAAAGAUGCGGGCUUUGUGGUGUACCCAUCGAGUGGAACUUAUUUUGUGG
Molecule: unclassified non-coding RNA, 315 nt
Filed under: Hevea brasiliensis (rubber tree)
Lineage: Eukaryota; Viridiplantae; Streptophyta; Magnoliopsida; Malpighiales; Euphorbiaceae
Source: RNAcentral